RNAcentral lists this ribosomal RNA (399 nucleotides) under uncultured Erwinia sp. RNAcentral's name for it is "bacterial SSU rRNA". It matches the Rfam family "Bacterial small subunit ribosomal RNA", at positions 958 to 1356 of the family's 1533-position model. Lineage: Bacteria; Pseudomonadati; Pseudomonadota; Gammaproteobacteria; Enterobacterales; Erwiniaceae. The record is from RNAcentral.
AACGCGAAGAACCUUACCUGGCCUUGACAUCCACGGAAUUUGGCAGAGAUGCCUUAGUGCCUUCGGGAACCGUGAGACAGGUGCUGCAUGGCUGUCGUCAGCUCGUGUUGUGAAAUGUUGGGUUAAGUCCCGCAACGAGCGCAACCCUUAUCCUUUGUUGCCAGCCAGUAAUGGUGGGAACUCAAAGGAGACUGCCGGUGAUAAACCGGAGGAAGGUGGGGAUGACGUCAAGUCAUCAUGGCCCUUACGGCCAGGGCUACACACGUGCUACAAUGGCGCAUACAAAGAGAAGCGACCUCGCGAGAGCAAGCGGACCUCAUAAAGUGCGUCGUAGUCCGGAUCGGAGUCUGCAACUCGACUCCGUGAAGUCGGAAUCGCUAGUAAUCGUAGAUCAGAAUG